CCUCCCAUCCCCAAUCAGCCAUCUAAUCUAGGCCAAAGCUAUUGGGGUGUAAGCACAGAUCUCCUUCCAAAUGGAGUAGACGUGAGUGGCCCGAACCUCGAUCCCCUGACUCCAUGCACGUAUCAAGCCCUUAUAACUCUGGUCCACAAAUAGUCCAAGCGAGCAAGAAAUAUGACGGCAUGCUUGGUAAUCAUAACCUCCCUCCUGACAAAUAGAAACUGAAUCCCAAGGCC
RNAcentral lists this long non-coding RNA (233 nucleotides) under Elaeis guineensis (African oil palm). Its description in RNAcentral is "long non-coding RNA (EGUI_LNC015261)". The record is from RNAcentral. Lineage: Eukaryota; Viridiplantae; Streptophyta; Magnoliopsida; Arecales; Arecaceae.